Molecule: ribosomal RNA, 387 nt
Filed under: uncultured bacterium
Lineage: Bacteria
Description: bacterial SSU rRNA
Rfam family: Bacterial small subunit ribosomal RNA
Source: RNAcentral
AACGAACGCUGGCGGCGUGGAUUAGGCAUGCAAGUCGAACGAACAUUUUAGCUUUUCCGAAUGUUAGUGGCGAAAGGGUGAGUAACACGUGGGUUACCUGCCCUAGGGUUCGGGAUAACCUGUCGAAAGACGGGCUAAUACCGGAUACGUCUCCGUUAUUUAACUAUAGCGGAGAGAAAGAUGGGGAUUCGUAAGAAUCUAUCACCCUUGGAUGGGCCCGCGGCCUAUCAGCUAGUUGGUGAGGUAAUGGCUCACCAAGGCUAAGACGGGUAGCUGGUCUGAGAGGAUGGUCAGCCACACUGGGACUGAGACACUGCCCAGACUCCUACGGGAGGCUGCAGUCGAGAAUCUUUCGCAAUGGGGGAAACCCUGACGAAGCGACGCCGC